GAUGAAGAACGUAGCGAAAUGCGAUAAGUAAUGCGAAUUGCAGAAUUCAGUGAGUCAUCGAAUCUUUGAACGCACAUUGCGCCCCCUGGUAUUCCGGGGGGCAUGCCUGUCCGAGCGUCAUUGCAACCUUCAAGCGCGGCUUGUGUGUUGGGUCUCGUCCCCCGUGGACGGGCCCGAAAGGCAGUGGCGGCGUCCCGACAUGGUGCCCGAGCGUAUGGGAAUCCUCUUCCGCUCGAAUCGGCCCAUGCGGCGCUGGUCGUAACCAAAUUUUUUACCGGUUGACCUCGGAUCAGGUAGGGAUACCCGCUGAACUUAAGCAUAUCAAUAAGCGGAGGA
Molecule: unclassified non-coding RNA, 336 nt
Filed under: soil metagenome
Description: partial contains 5.8S ribosomal RNA, internal transcribed spacer 2, and large subunit ribosomal RNA
Rfam family: 5.8S ribosomal RNA (bases 1-120)
Source: RNAcentral